This 755-nucleotide ribosomal RNA is filed under the name uncultured Paludibacter sp. RNAcentral's name for it is "bacterial SSU rRNA". It matches the Rfam family "Bacterial small subunit ribosomal RNA", at positions 28 to 776 of the family's 1533-position model. The record is from RNAcentral. Lineage: Bacteria; Pseudomonadati; Bacteroidota; Bacteroidia; Bacteroidales; Paludibacteraceae.
GAUGAACGCUAGCGAUAGGCUUAACACAUGCAAGUCGAGGGGCAUCACGAAUUAGCAAUAGUUUGGUGGCGACCGGCGCACGGGUGCGUAACACGUAUACAACCUACCUUCAAUUGGGGAAUAACCUGGAGAAAUUUGGACUAAUACCCCAUAGUAAACGGGAGAGGCAUCUUUUUUGUUUUAAAGAUUUAUUGAUUGGAGAUGGGUAUGCGUAGGAUUAGCUAGUUGGUAAGGUAACGGCUUACCAAGGCAACGAUCCUUAGGGGUUCUGAGAGGAAGGUCCCCCACACUGGUACUGAGACACGGACCAGACUCCUACGGGAGGCAGCAGUGAGGAAUAUUGGUCAAUGGUCGAGAGACUGAACCAGCCAAGUCGCGUGAAGGAAGACGGCUCUAUGAGUUGUAAACUUCUUUUGUACAGGAGUAAAGUGAGACACGCGUGUUUUAUUGCAAGUACUGUACGAAUAAGCAUCGGCUAACUCCGUGCCAGCAGCCGCGGUAAUACGGAGGAUGCAAGCGUUAUCCGGAUUUAUUGGGUUUAAAGGGUGCGUAGGCGGUAUUACAAGUCAGGGGUGAGAUCUUGGUGCUUAACAUUAAAAUUGCCUUUGAAACUGUGGUACUUGAGUGUAAAAGAGGUAGGCGGAAUGUGUUGUGUAGCGGUGAAAUGCAUAGAUAUAACACAGAACCCCGAUUGCGAAGGCAGCUUACUAUCAUACAACUGACGCUGAUGCACGAAAGCGUGGGGAUCAAACAGG